UGGGGAAUUUUGGACAAUGGGGGCAACCCUGAUCCAGCAAUGCCGCGUGUGUGAAGAAGGCCUUCGGGUUGUAAAGCACUUUUGUCCGGAAAGAAAACGUCGUGGUUAAUACCCGUGGCGGCUGACGGUACCGGAAGAAUAAGCACCGGCUAACUACGUGCCAGCAGCCGCGGUAAUACGUAGGGUGCAAGCGUUAAUCGGAAUUACUGGGCGUAAAGCGUGCGCAGGCGGUCCGCUAAGACAGAUGUGAAAUCCCCGGGCUUAACCUGGGAACUGCAUUUGUGACUGGCGGGCUAGAGUAUGGCAGAGGGGGGUAGAAUUCCACGUGUAGCAGUGAAAUGCGUAGAGAUGUGGAGGAAUACCGAUGGCGAAGGCAGCCCCCUGGGCCAAUACUGACGCUCAUGCACGAAAGCGUGGGGGAGCAAACAGGAUUAGAUACCCUGGUAGUCCACGCCCUAACGAUGUCAACUAGUUGUCGGGUCUUCAUUGACUU
This 493-nucleotide ribosomal RNA is filed under the name uncultured bacterium. RNAcentral's name for it is "partial 16S ribosomal RNA". It matches the Rfam family "Bacterial small subunit ribosomal RNA", at positions 355 to 841 of the family's 1533-position model. The record is from RNAcentral.